CCUACGGGUGGCAGCAGUGGGGAAUAUUGGACAAUGGGGGCAACCCUGAUCCAGCCAUGCCGCGUGUGUGAAGAAGGCCCUCGGGUUGUAAAGCACUUUCAGUGAGGAAGAACGCCUGGUGGUUAAUACCCAUCAGGAAAGACAUCACUCACAGAAGAAGCACCGGCUAACUCCGUGCCAGCAGCCGCGGUAAUACGGAGGGUGCGAGCGUUAAUCGGAAUUACUGGGCGUAAAGCGCGCGUAGGUGGCUUGAUAAGCCGGUUGUGAAAGCCCCGGGCUCAACCUGGGAACGGCAUCCGGAACUGUCAAGCUAGAGUGCAGGAGAGGAAGGUAGAAUUCCCGGUGUAGCGGUGAAAUGCGUAGAGAUCGGGAGGAAUACCAGUGGCGAAGGCGGCCUUCUGGACUGACACUGACACUGAGGUGCGAAAGCGUGGGUAGCAAACAGGAUUAGAUACCCUGGUAUC
RNAcentral lists this ribosomal RNA (464 nucleotides) under Vreelandella stevensii. RNAcentral describes it as "partial 16S ribosomal RNA". It matches the Rfam family "Bacterial small subunit ribosomal RNA", at positions 338 to 794 of the family's 1533-position model. The record is from RNAcentral. Lineage: Bacteria; Pseudomonadati; Pseudomonadota; Gammaproteobacteria; Oceanospirillales; Halomonadaceae.